Molecule: non-coding RNA, 825 nt
Organism: Dermatophagoides farinae (American house dust mite)
Lineage: Eukaryota; Metazoa; Arthropoda; Arachnida; Sarcoptiformes; Pyroglyphidae
Source: RefSeq, a predicted model, not a curated record
ACGCUCAAUAUUUUUGGAACGUAACCCCGCGUUAAGCGGGGUAUUACUGUAUAUUUGUAUUAUAUCACUGUAUAUAUGUAGCAUUACUGGCUGCGCAUGCUCCUGCCUAUUUCUACUUUCCCCUAUUUCGACCGAGAAUGUCGGUGAGAGAGAACGAGCACGUUUUUCAGCCGAAAAUUCCGAGUCAGGAACACUAACACACACAACUCGACAACAAAUAAAAAUCCGAUUUUCACAAACGAUCCCACGACAUAUUUAUUAUUAAAUAUUGUUCGUUUUGCAUUCAAUUGAUUCUCACUACAACAAUGGUUCAUCAUUAUUAUCAAUUUGUAGAAACCAUAAAGGUGAUAGUCCAAUUGUAUCAGUAAAAAAGAUGAAUAGCUGUUCGCUAUUUUUAGGCAUUGGUAAUCUUUUGGUUUGGUUUCCAUUAUUACGUUAUUUUGCCUAUUUUCAAUCAUACAACAUUCUCUUAUUGUAACAUUGAAGAAAUCUUUUCCAAACGUUUUGCGGUUCUGUCUCUGUGCAUUUUUAGUUUAUGGAGGAUUUUGUUUUUGUGGUUGGGUCGUUUUGGGUCCUCAUCAUCUCAAAUUUCGUACGCUUAGUUCAACAUUGGAAUGUUUGUUUUCACUUAUAAACGGUGAUGAUAUGUUUGCUACAUUUUUUCCACUGAUGUGAAAAAAGUCUUAUAUGGUGGUUUAGUCGCAUUUAUCUUUAUCUUUUCAUUUCAUUGUCCAUAUAUGUGAUAGUCUCGUUGCCAUAAUACUCGAUGCAUACGAACGGUUCCUAUUUUUUUUUUAAUAACAUGAAAACUUUUUUUAAUUUUUA